This 73-nucleotide transfer RNA is filed under the name Nicotiana sylvestris (wood tobacco). It matches the Rfam family "tRNA". Rfam says of the family: Transfer RNA (tRNA) molecules are approximately 80 nucleotides in length. Their secondary structure includes four short double-helical elements and three loops (D, anti-codon, and T loops). Further hydrogen bonds mediate the characteristic L-shaped molecular structure. tRNAs have two regions of fundamental functional importance: the anti-codon, which is responsible for specific mRNA codon recognition, and the 3' end, to which the tRNAs corresponding amino acid is attached (by aminoacyl-tRNA synthetases). tRNAs cope with the degeneracy of the genetic code in two manners: having more than one tRNA (with a specific anti-codon) for a particular amino acid; and 'wobble' base-pairing, i.e. permitting non-standard base-pairing at the 3rd anti-codon position. The record is from Rfam by way of RNAcentral. RNAcentral also lists the same sequence under 1 other name. Lineage: Eukaryota; Viridiplantae; Streptophyta; Magnoliopsida; Solanales; Solanaceae.
GGGGAUGUAGCUCAAAUGGUAGAGCGCUCAAUUAGCAUGCGAGAGGUACGGGGAUCGAUACCCUGCAUUUCCA